UGUGCUCACACACAGAGCUUCCAGUGCCACC
This 31-nucleotide non-coding RNA is filed under the name Homo sapiens (human). Lineage: Eukaryota; Metazoa; Chordata; Mammalia; Primates; Hominidae. The record is from RNAcentral.